This 324-nucleotide ribosomal RNA is filed under the name uncultured Veillonellaceae bacterium. RNAcentral describes it as "partial 16S ribosomal RNA". The record is from RNAcentral. Lineage: Bacteria; Bacillati; Bacillota; Negativicutes; Veillonellales; Veillonellaceae.
GGAGUAUGGACCGUGUCUCAGUUCCAUUGUGGCCGUUCAUCCUCUCAGACCGGCUACCGAUCGUCGGCUAGGUGAGCUUUUACCUCACCUACUACCUAAUCGGACGCAGGCUCCUCGCAAAGCGAUAAAUCUUUAGUGUAAAAGUCAUGCGACCCCUACACAACAUCCGGUAUUAGCGUCCCUUUCGGAACGUUGUCCCCGUCUUUGCGGCAGAUUACCUGCGCUUUACUCACCCGUUCGCCACUAGCACCGAAGUGCCCGUUCGACUUGCAUGUGUUAAGCACGCCGCCAGCGUUCGUCCUCGAGCCACGGAGUCAAACUACU